Molecule: ribosomal RNA, 378 nt
Filed under: Scytodes sp. 33 YFL-2022a
Lineage: Eukaryota; Metazoa; Arthropoda; Arachnida; Araneae; Scytodidae
Description: partial large subunit ribosomal RNA
Rfam family: Bacterial large subunit ribosomal RNA
Source: RNAcentral
GUACUAAGGUAGCAUAAUCACUAGCCUUAUAAUUGAAGGACAGCAUGAAAGAAAUAACGAGCCAAUAUAACAUCUACUGAGGUAAAAAUGAAAUUAACAUAGAAGUAAAAAGACUUCAAAAACAAAGAAAGACGACAAGACCCUGACGAACUUCACAAAACCCUGUUAAGCUGGGGCAGCUACAUAAACACACCUUAUAAUGUGACUACUAUAUACCUAAAACAUUUAUAUACAAAACCAGUUACCGCAGGGAUAACAGCAUUAUACUUUUCAGGAGCACCCAUCCAAAAAAGCCCUUAUGACCUCGAUGUUGAAUUAUCUCCAAUAAUGGGCAACCACAUUAACCACGGGUCUGUUCGACCCAAAAAGAUACAUGAU